AUUGAACGCUGGCGGCAGGCCUAACACAUGCAAGUCGAAUGGUAACAGGAAACAGCUUGCUGUUUCGCUGACGAGUGGCGGACGGGUGAGUAAUGUCUGGGAAACUGCCUGAUGGAGGGGGAUAACUACUGGAAACGGUAGCUAAUACCGCAUAACGUCGCAAGACCAAAGAGGGGGACCUUCGGGCCUCUUGCCAUCAGAUGUGCCCAGAUGGGAUUAGCUAGUAGGUGGGGUAACGGCUCACCUAGGCGACGAUCCCUAGCUGGUCUGAGAGGAUGACCAGCUACCCUGGAACUGAGGCACGGCCCAGACUCCGACGGGAGGCAGCAGUGGGGAAUAUUGCACAAUGGGCGCAAGGCUGAUGCAGCCAUGCCGCGGGUAUGAAGAAGGCCUUCGGGUUGUAAAGUACUUUCAGCGGGGAGGAAGGGAGUAAAGUUAAUACCUUUGCUCAUUGACGUUACCCGCAGAAGAAGCACCGGCUAACUCCGUG
Molecule: ribosomal RNA, 490 nt
Filed under: uncultured bacterium
Lineage: Bacteria
Description: partial 16S ribosomal RNA
Rfam family: Bacterial small subunit ribosomal RNA
Source: RNAcentral